UACAGAGGGUGCGAGCGUUAAUCGGAAUUACUGGGCGUAAAGCGCACGUAGUCGGCUUUGCAAGUCGGGUGUGAAAUCCCCGGGCUCAACCUGGGAACUGCAUCCGAGACUGCAUUGCUAGAGUAUGGGAGAGGGAAGCGGAAUUUCUGGUGUAGCAGUGAAAUGCGUAGAUAUCUGGAGGAACACCGGUGGCGAAGGCGGCAUCCUGGACCAUGACUGACGCUGAGGAGCGAAAGCCAGGGGAGCAAACGGG
Molecule: ribosomal RNA, 253 nt
Filed under: uncultured bacterium
Lineage: Bacteria
Description: partial 16S ribosomal RNA
Rfam family: Bacterial small subunit ribosomal RNA
Source: RNAcentral